ACGUGGAUAACCUACCUAUAAGACUGGGAUAACUUCGGGAAACCGGAGCUAAUACCGGAUAAUAUUUUGAACCGCAUGGUUCAAAAGUGAAAGACGGUCUUGCUGUCACUUAUAGAUGGAUCCGCGCUGCAUUAGCUAGUUGGUAAGGUAACGGCUUACCAAGGCAACGAUGCAUAGCCGACCUGAGAGGGUGAUCGGCCACACUGGAACUGAGACACGGUCCAGACUCCUACGGGAGGCAGCAGUAGGGAAUCUUCCGCAAUGGGCGAAAGCCUGACGGAGCAACGCCGCGUGAGUGAUGAAGGUCUUCGGAUCGUAAAACUCUGUUAUUAGGGAAGAACAUAUGUGUAAGUAACUGUGCACAUCUUGACGGUACCUAAUCAGAAAGCCACGGCUAACUACGUGCCAGCAGCCGCGGUAAUACGUAGGUGGCAAGCGUUAUCCGGAAUUAUUGGGCGUAAAGCGCGCGUAGGCGGUUUUUUAAGUCUGAUGUGAAAGCCCACGGCUCAACCGUGGAGGGUCAUUGGAAACUGGAAAACUUGAGUGCAGAAGAGGAAAGUGGAAUUCCAUGUGUAGCGGUGAAAUGCGCAGAGAUAUGGAGGAACACCAGUGGCGAAGGCGACUUUCUGGUCUGUAACUGACGCUGAUGUGCGAAAGCGUGGGGAUCAAACAGGAUUAGAUACCCUGGUAGUCCACGCCGUAAACGAUGAGUGCUAAGUGUUAGGGGGUU
RNAcentral lists this ribosomal RNA (730 nucleotides) under Staphylococcus aureus. RNAcentral's name for it is "bacterial SSU rRNA". It matches the Rfam family "Bacterial small subunit ribosomal RNA", at positions 115 to 832 of the family's 1533-position model. Lineage: Bacteria; Bacillati; Bacillota; Bacilli; Caryophanales; Staphylococcaceae. The record is from RNAcentral.